AACGAACGCUGGCGGCAGGCCUAACACAUGCAAGUCGAACGCCCCGCAAGGGGAGUGGCAGACGGGUGAGUAACGCGUGGGAACCUUCCCUUUGGUACGGAAUAAUUCACCGAAAGGUGGACUAAUACCGCAUACGCCCGAGAGGGGAAAGAUUUAUCGCCAAAGGAUGGGCCCGCGUUGGAUUAGCUAGUUGGUGAGGUAACGGCUCACCAAGGCGACGAUCCAUAGCUGGUCUGAGAGGAUGAUCAGCCACACUGGGACUGAGACACGGCCCAGACUCCUACGGGAGGCAGCAGUGGGGAAUAUUGGACAAUGGGCGCAAGCCUGAUCCAGCCAUGCCGCGUGAGUGAUGAAGGCCUUCGGGUUGGUUAAAGGACGU
This 379-nucleotide ribosomal RNA is filed under the name uncultured bacterium. Its description in RNAcentral is "bacterial SSU rRNA". It matches the Rfam family "Bacterial small subunit ribosomal RNA", at positions 29 to 435 of the family's 1533-position model. The record is from RNAcentral.